Molecule: ribosomal RNA, 184 nt
Filed under: uncultured bacterium
Lineage: Bacteria
Description: partial 16S ribosomal RNA
Rfam family: Bacterial small subunit ribosomal RNA
Source: RNAcentral
UACAUGAAGCUGGAAUCGCUAGUAAUCGCGGAUCAGAAUGCCGCGGUGAAUACGUUCCCGGGUCUUGUACACACCGCCCGUCACACCAUGGGAGUCGGAAAUGCCCGAAGUCUGUGACCCAACCUACGGGAGGGAGCAGCCGAAGGCAGGUCGGAUGACUGGGGUGAAGUCGUAACAAGGUAAC